GACGAACGCUGGCGGCGUGCUUAACACAUGCAAGUCGAACGGAAAGGCCCUGCUUUUGUGGGGUGCUCGAGUGGCGAACGGGUGAGUCACACGUGAGUAACCUGCCCUUUACUUUGGGAUAACUUCAGGAAACUGGGGCUAAUACCGGAUAGGAGCUCCUGCUGCAUGGUGGGGGUUGGAUAGUUUCGGCGGUUGGGGAUGGACUCGCGGCUUAUCAGCUUGUUGGUGGGGUAGUGGCUUACCAAGGCUUUGACGGGUAGCCGGCCUGAGAGGGUGACCGGCCACAUUGGGACUGAGAUACGGCCCAGACUCCUACGGGAGGCAGCAGUGGGGAAUAUUGCACAAUGGGCGGAAGCCUGAUGCAGCAACGCCGCGUGCGGGAUGACGGCCUUCGGGUUGUAAACCGCUUUCGCCUGUGACGAAGCGUGAGUGACGGUAAUGGGUAAAGAAGCACCGGCUAACUACGUG
Molecule: ribosomal RNA, 468 nt
Filed under: uncultured bacterium
Lineage: Bacteria
Description: partial 16S ribosomal RNA
Rfam family: Bacterial small subunit ribosomal RNA
Source: RNAcentral